RNAcentral lists this ribosomal RNA (444 nucleotides) under uncultured bacterium. RNAcentral's name for it is "partial 16S ribosomal RNA". It matches the Rfam family "Bacterial small subunit ribosomal RNA", at positions 338 to 795 of the family's 1533-position model. The record is from RNAcentral.
CCUACGGGGGGCAGCAGUGAGGAAUAUUGGUCAAUGGGCGCGAGCCUGAACCAGCCAAGUAGCGUGAAGGAUGACUGCCCUACGGGUUGUAAACUUCUUUUCUCAGGGACGAAGAAAGUGACGUUACCUGAGGAAUAAGCCACGGCUAACUACGUGCCAGCAGCCGCGGUAAUACGUAGGUGGCAAGCGUUAUCCGGAUUUACUGGGUGCAAAGGGCGUGUAGGCGGGAAAGCAAGUCAGAUGUGAAGACCAUGGGCUCAAACUGUGGCCUGCAUUUGAAACUGUUUUUCUUGAGUACUGGAGAGGCAGACGGAAUGCCUGGUGUAGCGGUGAAAUGCGUAGAUAUGACGAGGAACACCAGUGGCGAAGGCGGUCUGCUGAACAGCAAUUGACGCUGAGGCGCGAAAGCGUGGGGAUCAAACAGGAUUAGAUACCCGAGUAGUC